This 346-nucleotide long non-coding RNA is filed under the name Spirodela polyrhiza (greater duckweed). Its description in RNAcentral is "long non-coding RNA (SPOL_LNC001036)". The record is from RNAcentral. Lineage: Eukaryota; Viridiplantae; Streptophyta; Magnoliopsida; Alismatales; Araceae.
UUUUGGCCCCGCCGCCGCCCGCGGGGUCGAGGUUCUGAUGGUAGGGGGAAGAGUUUACAGAGUGGAGGGGGCCAUCGUCGUCGUCGGAGAAAUCUGAAUCAGAUAGGUCCAGGUGCAGGUGGGAGCCGGAGUUGGAUCGGGAGAGGUGGUGGCCGCCGGCGGCGACUGGUGCCGGAGGAGCGGGAGAAGGAGAGAGGGGAGGCAUGGGAUCCCCCUUCCUCUGGGUGGGGAGGGUGAGGAUCGGAGAGGGAUGAGAGAGAAAGUGCUGCUCGUCGAAGAAUUUAUGGAGGGACUCGCCGACGAGGCGCAGAGACCGUAGAUACUCCGCGUGGGCGUCGGCGAGGUC